This is a non-coding RNA of Clostridium sp. CAG:575, 195 nucleotides long. The record is from Rfam. NCBI's taxonomy places the organism in Bacteria, Bacillati, Bacillota, Clostridia, Eubacteriales, Clostridiaceae.
UUUACCCUGCAUAGUGCGUGUAGACAGAAUUUUUAGAACCUACAAGUUUAUAAGAGGGGCCAAUCUCGAAAAUACGGCGUGCAUGCUCACACGAUUUAGUAGUGAGAAGCCCAUGAGUAUUUUGGUAGGCACCCACCUGUUUUUCGGAGCAGGUCCUUAAAAAUUCAGACAUCUUACGGCUAAAGCGGGGAUUUU